Molecule: long non-coding RNA, 252 nt
Filed under: Elaeis guineensis (African oil palm)
Lineage: Eukaryota; Viridiplantae; Streptophyta; Magnoliopsida; Arecales; Arecaceae
Description: long non-coding RNA (EGUI_LNC030857)
Source: RNAcentral
CAGGACAAAGAGAGAUGUUUUUUCACCGUGAGAUACCAAAUAUUCACCGUGAAAGAGAGAGGGUGGCAUGUGGAUUGAUUGAGAAUUAGUUAGGAAUGAAUUUGAAUUCAAAUAGGAUUUGAAUUUGAAUCUAAUCCUAUUCUUAAUAAAUCUCCUAACACCAUCUUUUAAGAGGCUGGUUUUUUUGUGCGACAAAAGACCUUAAGCAACCAUGAGAUAUCUGAUAUCAUGCGAUAGAAAAUCUAAGAGGGG